UUUAAAUCUCAUUAUAAUAUUUUAAUUUAUGUAAUUUUUAUGUGUAGUCUUUUUAUAUAGCUUAAAUUAUAUAUAUUAAAUAUAUUUAAUUUUAUAAUAUUAAUACUUGAAAAUAAAGGAUUUUUUUUUGCAAAUGGCUCCCUGAAAAAAUUUUAUUUUAAAACUAGCCUCAACAAUUUAUAAUUACAAAAAUGACCCUACUCCUGCCACGCAGGUGCUACGCAAGUACCACGUGGGCGGGUUGGAUGGGCAAGUUGAACACGUGAUUCACCCUGUUCACGUGUUUUAUAUUUAUAUUCUUUUUCUUCUUUUUAGGGAUGUCAACGGGUUGGGUUGGGUUCGGAUUCGGGUUCGAGUUACGGGUUUUUGGUCGGGUAUGGAUAUGGGUAUGGAUUUUUAAAACUCGGCGGGUUCGGAUUCGAGUUCAAGUUUUAAUUUGAUUUUCAGAUUCAGAUUCGGUUUUUUGAAAACCCGAUCCAAAUCCGACCCGUUAAUAUCUCUAAAAAGGAAUAAAAGGAAUAUUAAUAUGAAACACGUUGAAUCAUUCACCGUGUUUGAACCGUGUUCAACUUGGUAAGCAACCUCCCAGCCCGCCCACGUGGCGCUUGCGUGGCGCCUGCGUGGCGGAAGUAGGGCUAUUUUUGCAAUUAUAAAUUAGUACCUUCUUGUGGUUUCACUUUUUUUUCACUUUAGUAUUCUAUGGUUUAAAGUGUAUUAAGUUAGUGCCAUGUGGUUUUGCACUUUUUCACUUUAGUACCCUGUGAUUUAAAGUGUAUCAAGUUAGUACCCUGUGGUUUCGCACUUUAUCACUUUAGUACUCUGUGGUUUCGCACUUUAUCACUUUAGUAUCCUAUGGUUUAAAAACCACAGAGUACUAACUUGAUACAAAAAUAAAACCACAGGGUACUAACUUGAUACAAAAAUAAAACCACAGAGUACUAACUUGAUACACUUUAAACCACAGGGUGCUAAAGUGAUAAAGUGAGAAACCACAGGAUACUAACUUAAUACACUUUAAACCACAGGGUACUAAAAUGAAAAAGUGUGAAACCACAGGGGGUUUUUUUUGAAGUUUUCCCUUAAAUUAAAAAAAGUUGGUGGUCUAAAAUUUAGGAUUAAUUUUAUUUUGCUCCAUAUAAACAUAUUGAAUAACAAAUAUAGUUUUAGAAAGUUUAUCUUUUUAUAUUUAUUUCUGUAAAAGUUUAGUAAUAUUCAUAUUUAUUUUUUUGAUUUAUUACCGUUAUAAUACGGUAUAUUUUUUACUAAAAAAUAAGCAAAAUAAUAUUUUUGCCAUCACAAAUAUGUUCCUCCGAAAGCCCCAAAUUUUAGAAUUAUAUAAAAAUAUUCGUCCAAAAAUUUUCAAUUAUCAUUUUCUUCCCUUCAACCAUCACAAAUAAUAUAAGAGGGGUAAACAGAUCAAUUUAGUUUAUUCAUUAAUCAUGGUUAAAUGUUUUAUCUAUGGUUAACUAUAAUUUUCUAAUGGAUCCUAAUAGUAGGGGUAUAUUUCUAAAUGUUAGAAUUUUUGCAGGAAUAAAUAUGAAAAAUUAAACUUUGUAGGAAUAUAUCUGUUAUUCGAUAUAUUUACAGAAAGCUAUAUGAAAUUAACCCUAAAAAAUAAUAGUAAAUAAUUUAUACUUAAUUUUAAAUUUUAAAAUAAUUUUUUUUAAAAUAUAAUUUUUAUAAAUAGUUUAUUUUAAUAUUACAUAUUAUAGCGGUUUAAAUUGUAAUUUUAAAUUUAUAAAUUAGACGUUAAUGAUUGUGCUCUAUAUAUAUGGUUCAACGAACUUUAUUCUUCCCUAAUGUAAGGAAGGUGGU
This 1815-nucleotide long non-coding RNA is filed under the name Ananas comosus (pineapple). RNAcentral describes it as "long non-coding RNA (ACOM_LNC013151)". The record is from RNAcentral. Lineage: Eukaryota; Viridiplantae; Streptophyta; Magnoliopsida; Poales; Bromeliaceae.